RNAcentral lists this long non-coding RNA (413 nucleotides) under Sarcophilus harrisii (Tasmanian devil). RNAcentral's name for it is "lncRNA (ENSSHAG00000028176.1)". Lineage: Eukaryota; Metazoa; Chordata; Mammalia; Dasyuromorphia; Dasyuridae. The record is from RNAcentral.
CUAAUGGGGCAGUGAAUGAUGUUCACUCUUCUAUACUGUUUCUAGUCUACUCUCCAAGGUCGGAAAGUGUUCGAGGGGUUUGAUUUAUUGAGCUGUGGGGGAGAGAUCCUGCUGUGCCCAUAGAGGAGAUGGUAAUUCUUUGAAAAAGGGAUUGUUCAACUCCUACAGAGAGAGGCUUUAGGCAAUUUUGAAAUAAUAGAAGCUGAGAAUCUUGGGCCUCAUAUAGAUUGUACACCAUCGGUCUCUUCCCUUGGGAUGGGAGAAAAAGAAACAGCUGUUAAUAGAAUCACGAUCCAGUCUAUAGAAAAAAAAUGGCAGUGAGUAUCUUUUUAAAUCUGGUUUUCUUAACAGCUCUUUGGAGCCCUGUUCACAAUGUGGUCGGUUUGUAAUUGGAUCUGUAGUCAAUCUUUUCC